RNAcentral lists this transfer RNA (73 nucleotides) under Odontamblyopus lacepedii. Its description in RNAcentral is "tRNA-Leu". It matches the Rfam family "tRNA". From Rfam's summary of the family: Transfer RNA (tRNA) molecules are approximately 80 nucleotides in length. The record is from RNAcentral. RNAcentral also lists the same sequence under 2 other names. Lineage: Eukaryota; Metazoa; Chordata; Actinopteri; Gobiiformes; Gobiidae.
UGCUUUCAAAGGAUAAUAGUUAAUCCAUUGGUCUUAGGAGCCAAAAACUCUUGGUGCAAAUCCAAGUGAAAGC